UUAAAGGAAGAUGGAAGUGGAAG
RNAcentral lists this non-coding RNA (23 nucleotides) under Cricetulus griseus (Chinese hamster). The record is from RNAcentral. Lineage: Eukaryota; Metazoa; Chordata; Mammalia; Rodentia; Cricetidae.